GAUGAACGCUGGCGGCGUGCCUAAUACAUGCAAGUCGAGCGAACGGACGAGAAGCUUGCUUCUCUGAUGUUAGCGGCGGACGGGUGAGUAACACGUGGAUAACCGACCUAUAAGACUGGGAUAACUUCGGGAAACCGUAGCUAAUACCGGAUAAUAUUUUGAACCUCAUGGUUCAAAAGUGAACGCCGGUCUUGCUGUCACUUAUACAUGGUUCCGCGCUGCAUUAGCUAGUUGGUAAGGUAACGGCUUACCAAGGCAACGAUGCAUAGCCGACCUGAGAGGGUGAUCGGCCACACUGGAACUGAGACACGGUCCAGACUCCUACGGGAGGCAGCAGUAGGGAAUCUUCGGCAAUGGGCGAAAGCCUGACGGAGCAACGCCGCGUGAGUGAUGAAGGUCUUCGGAUCGUAAAACUCUGUUAUUAGGGAAGAACAUAUGUGUAAGUAACUGUGCACAUCUUGACGGUACCUAAUCAGAAAGCCACGGCUAACUACGUG
RNAcentral lists this ribosomal RNA (497 nucleotides) under uncultured bacterium. Its description in RNAcentral is "partial 16S ribosomal RNA". It matches the Rfam family "Bacterial small subunit ribosomal RNA", at positions 28 to 507 of the family's 1533-position model. The record is from RNAcentral.